ACGCGCGCUGCGUCCAGGCCUGUCUGGAGCAAGUUAGCUGACUUCUGUCUGACCUAAACUGUCAGCCCUCUAUUAGCGCUGCUCUCAGAGCUCAUCAGAGAAGUUUCAUAUUGCUGUGGACAGUGGUUAAUACAGAAACGCACAACUGACCAAAGUAUAGAGAUGGAACGUCUAUGGAGUGCUCAACCAAACUGGGAUACAUCACACCUCCACUCUGGAAGGCUCAGAGAGCAUCACGGAAGGGAGAACAGAAAGAUGGCAAGAGCCAGAGAGUCAAAUACCAAGUCUAUAUUUUUGUGAGUCUUUGAACACUACACCUCUUGAUUUCUUCCAAUAACAAUGGUUCCAACUUCUGAGUAUUGCUCAGAAUAUGAGAAUAAAAUAGGUUGAUUAUAA
Molecule: long non-coding RNA, 396 nt
Organism: Arvicola amphibius (Eurasian water vole)
Lineage: Eukaryota; Metazoa; Chordata; Mammalia; Rodentia; Cricetidae
Exons: 3
Source: RefSeq, a predicted model, not a curated record